UACGUAGGGGGCAAGCGUUGUCCGGAAUCAUUGGGCGUAAAGAGCGUGUAGGCGGCCCGGUAAGUCCGCUGUGAAAGUCCAGGGCUCAACCCCGGGCGUGCAUUCGAUACUGCGCGGCUCGAGACAGGUAGGGGAGAUCGGAAUUCCUGGUGUAGCGGUGAAAUGCGCAGAUAUCAGGAGGAACACCGGUGGCGAAGGCGGAUCUCUGGGCCUGUUCUGACGCUGAGGCGCGAAAGCUAGGGGAGCGAACAGG
Molecule: ribosomal RNA, 253 nt
Filed under: uncultured bacterium
Lineage: Bacteria
Description: partial 16S ribosomal RNA
Rfam family: Bacterial small subunit ribosomal RNA
Source: RNAcentral